GAAGCGGCAACAGCUCAAAUUUGAAAUCUGGCGCAAGCCCGAGUUGUAAUUUGUAGAGGAUGCUUCUGGGCAGCGGCCGUUCUAAGUUCCUUGGAACAGGACGUCACAGAGGGUGAGAAUCCCGUAUGCGACCGGCGCGCACCCUUUACGUAGCUCCUUCGACGAGUCGAGUUGUUUGGGAAUGCAGCUCUAAAUGGGAGGUAAAUUUCUUCUAAAGCUAAAUACCGGCCAGAGACCGAUAGCGCACAAGUAGAGUGAUCGAAAGAUGAAAAGCACUUUGGAAAGAGAGUUAAAAAGCACGUGAAAUUGUUGAAAGGGAAGCGCUUGCAACCAGACUCCGCGGCGGUGUUCCGCCGGUCUUCUGACCGGUCUACUCGCCGCCGCGGGGCCAACAUCGUCUGGGGCCGCCGGAUAAGACCGUGAGAAUGUAGCUCCCUCGGGAGUGUUAUAGCUCGCGGUGAUACGGCGCGUCCCGGGCGAGGUCCGCGCUUCGGCAAGGAUGUUGGCGUAAUGGUUGCCAGCGGCCCGUCUUGAAACACGGACCAAGGAGUCUAACAUCUAUGCGAGUGUUCGGGUGUCAAACCCCUACGCGUAAUGAAAGUGAACGGAGGUGGGAGCUUCGGCGCACCAUCGACCGAUCCUGAUGUCCUCGGAUGGAUUUGAGUAAGAGCAUAGCUGUUGGGACCCGAAAGAUGGUGAACUAUGCCUGAAUAGGGUGAAGCCAGAGGAAACUCUGGUGGA
This 741-nucleotide ribosomal RNA is filed under the name Pseudozasmidium eucalypti. RNAcentral's name for it is "eukaryotic LSU rRNA". It matches the Rfam family "Eukaryotic large subunit ribosomal RNA", at positions 95 to 871 of the family's 3401-position model. The record is from RNAcentral. Lineage: Eukaryota; Fungi; Ascomycota; Dothideomycetes; Mycosphaerellales; Mycosphaerellaceae.